GCGGCAAUUCCAGCUCCAAUAGCGUAUAUUAAAGUUGUUGCAGUUAAAAAGCUCGUAGUUGAAUUUCGGGAUUGACACAUCGGUCGUGCCUUAAGGGGUAUGAACUGGUGUAGUCAAUUUCUCACCUUCUGGAGAACGGCGAUGCCCUUAAUUGGGUGUCGCGGGGAACCAGGACCUUUACUUUGAAAAAAUUAGAGUGUUUAAAGCAGGCAUUUUGCUUGAAUACAUUAGCAUGGAAUAAUAAAAUAGGACGGCAUGAUUCUAUUUUGUUGGUUUCUAGGAUCACCGUAAUGAUUAAUAGGGAUAGUUGGGGGCAUUAGUAUUCAAUUGUCAGAGGUGAAAUUCUUGGAUUUAUUGAAGACUAACUACUGCGAAAGCAUUUGCCAAGGAUGUUUUCAUUAAUCAAGAACGAAAGUUAGGGGAUCGAANACGAUCAGAUACCGUCGUAGUCUUAACCAUAAACUAUGCCGACUAGGAAUCAGACGAUGUUAAUUUUUUAAUGACUCGUUCGGCGCCUUACCGAAACAAA
This 529-nucleotide ribosomal RNA is filed under the name Entrophospora lutea. RNAcentral's name for it is "SSU rRNA". It matches the Rfam family "Eukaryotic small subunit ribosomal RNA", at positions 576 to 1101 of the family's 1831-position model. The record is from RNAcentral. Lineage: Eukaryota; Fungi; Glomeromycota; Glomeromycetes; Entrophosporales; Entrophosporaceae.